RNAcentral lists this ribosomal RNA (427 nucleotides) under uncultured bacterium. Its description in RNAcentral is "partial 16S ribosomal RNA". It matches the Rfam family "Bacterial small subunit ribosomal RNA", at positions 355 to 774 of the family's 1533-position model. The record is from RNAcentral.
UGGGGAAUAUUGCACAAUGCGCGCAAGCCUGAUGCAGCCAUGCCGCGUGUAUGAAGAAGGCCUUCGGGUUGUAAAGUACUUUCAGCGGGGAGGAAGGUGUUGUGGUUAAUAACCUCAGCAAUUGACGUUACCCGCAGAAGAAGCACCGGCUAACUCCGUGCCAGCAGCCGCGGUAAUACGGAGGGCGCAAGCGUUAAUCGGAAUUACUGGGCGUAAAGCGCACGCAGGCGGUCUGUCAAGUCGGAUGUGAAAUCCCCGGGCUCAACCUGGGAACUGCAUCCGAAACUGGCAGGCUUGAGUCUUGUAGAGGGGGGUAGAAUUCCAGGUGUAGCGGUGAAAUGCGUAGAGAUCUGGAGGAAUACCGGUGGCGAAGGCGGCCCCCUGGACAAAGACUGACGCUCAGGUGCGAAAGCGUGGGGAGCAAACA